UACAGAGGCCUCAAGCGUUAUCCGGAAUUACUGGGCGUAAAGGGUGUGUAGGCGGCAUAGUUAGUCGGAUGUUAAAGUCCGGGGCUCAACCCCGGGUCCGCGUCCGAAACGGCUAAGCUAGAGAGUGUGAGAGGUGUACGGAACCCAUAGUGUAGGGGUGAAAUCCGUUGAUAUUAUGGGGAACACCGAAAGCGAAGGCAGUACACUGGCGCAUUUCUGACGCUGAAACACGAAACCCUGGGUAGCGAAAGGG
RNAcentral lists this unclassified non-coding RNA (253 nucleotides) under uncultured Parcubacteria group bacterium. RNAcentral's name for it is "contains 16S-23S intergenic spacer region". It matches the Rfam family "Bacterial small subunit ribosomal RNA", at positions 524 to 776 of the family's 1533-position model. The record is from RNAcentral.